RNAcentral lists this ribosomal RNA (587 nucleotides) under uncultured bacterium. RNAcentral describes it as "bacterial SSU rRNA". It matches the Rfam family "Bacterial small subunit ribosomal RNA", at positions 338 to 916 of the family's 1533-position model. The record is from RNAcentral.
CCUACGGGAGGCAGCAGUGGGGAAUCUUGCGCAAUGCGCGAAAGCGUGACGCAGCAACGCCGCGUGAGGGAAGACGGCCUUCGGGUUGUAAACCUCUUUCAGUUGGGACGAAGCCACGGCGGUUAAUACCCGUCUGUGGUGACGGUACCUUCAGAAGAAGCCCCGGCUAACUACGUGCCAGCAGCCGCGGUAAUACGUAGGGGGCAAGCGUUGUCCGGAAUCAUUGGGCGUAAAGCGCGUGUAGGCGGCUUGGUAAGUCCGCUCUGAAAGCCCGGGGCUCAACCCCGGGAGGCGGGUGGAUACUGUCAAGCUCGAGUCCGGAAGAGGCGAGUGGAAUUCCUGGUGUAGCGGUGAAAUGCGCAGAUAUCAGGAGGAACACCAAUGGCGAAGGCAGCUCGCUGGGACGUGACUGACGCUGAGACGCGAAAGCGUGGGGAGCAAACAGGAUUAGAUACCCUGGUAGUCCACGCCGUAAACGAUGGGCACUAGGUGUGGGAGGUGUCGACUCCUCCCGUGCCGAAGCUAACGCAUUAAGUGCCCCGCCUGGGGAGUACGGCCGCAAGGCUAAAACUCAAAGGAAUUGACGG